UGGGGAAUAUUGCGCAAUGGGGGCAACCCUGACGCAGCCAUGCCGCGUGAGUGAUGAAGGCCUUCGGGUUGUAAAGCUCUUUCAGGUGCGACGAUGAUGACGGUAACACCAGAAGAAGCCCCGGCUAACUUCGUGCCAGCAGCCGCGGUAAUACGAAGGGGGCAAGCGUUGUUCGGAAUCACUGGGCGUAAAGCGCGCGUAGGCGGUCUCGCCAGUCAGAGGUGAAAGCCCAGGGCUCAACCCUGGAACUGCCUUUGAUACUGCGAGACUAGAGUCCGUGAGAGGGUGGUGGAAUUCCCAGUGUAGAGGUGAAAUUCGUAGAUAUUGGGAGGAACACCAGUGGCGAAGGCGGCCACCUGGCACGGUACUGACGCUGAGGUGCGAAAGCGUGGGGAGCAAACAGGAUUAGAUACCCCCGUAGUCC
Molecule: ribosomal RNA, 424 nt
Filed under: uncultured prokaryote
Description: bacterial SSU rRNA
Rfam family: Bacterial small subunit ribosomal RNA
Source: RNAcentral